RNAcentral lists this ribosomal RNA (441 nucleotides) under uncultured bacterium. Its description in RNAcentral is "partial 16S ribosomal RNA". It matches the Rfam family "Bacterial small subunit ribosomal RNA", at positions 338 to 795 of the family's 1533-position model. The record is from RNAcentral.
CCUACGGGGGGCAGCAGUGGGGGAUAUUGCACAAUGGGGGAAACCCUGAUGCAGCGACGCCGCGUGGGCGAAGAAGUAUUUCGGUAUGUAAAGCCCUAUCAGCAGGGAAGAAGAAAUGACGGUACCCGGAGAAAAAGCAUCGGCUAACUCCGUGCCAGCAGCCGCGGUAAUACGGAGGAUGCGAGCGUUAUCCGGAUUCAUUGGGUUUAAAGGGUGCGCAGGCGGGCCUUUAAGCCGGCGGUGAAAUCGCGGGGCUCAACCCCGCCGAGCCGUCGGAACUGGGGGCCUUGAGUGCGGCGGAGGCAUGCGGAAUGAGCGGUGUAGCGGUGAAAUGCAUAGAUAUCGCGCAGAACCCCGAUUGCGAAGGCAGCGUGCCGUGCCGCCACUGACGCUGAGGCACGAAAGCGCGGGGAUCGAACAGGAUUAGAUACCCUGGUAGUC